Molecule: transfer RNA, 76 nt
Filed under: Clostridia bacterium
Lineage: Bacteria; Bacillati; Bacillota; Clostridia
Also listed under: 1 other name
Description: tRNA-Trp
Rfam family: tRNA
About the family: Transfer RNA (tRNA) molecules are approximately 80 nucleotides in length. Their secondary structure includes four short double-helical elements and three loops (D, anti-codon, and T loops).
Source: RNAcentral
AGGGGUAUAGCUCAGCUGGCAGAGCGUCGGUCUCCAAAACCGAGCGUCGAGGGUUCAAAUCCUUCUACCCCUGCCA